RNAcentral lists this long non-coding RNA (1208 nucleotides) under Panax ginseng (ginseng). RNAcentral's name for it is "long non-coding RNA (PGIN_LNC018945)". Lineage: Eukaryota; Viridiplantae; Streptophyta; Magnoliopsida; Apiales; Araliaceae. The record is from RNAcentral.
UCUUAUUUUCCAAUAUAUAUUUAGGUUUGAACUUCGAAUAAGACAACUCUAAUAUAAUUUUAAUUUAAUUUUGAAUGACUCAUUAUGCAAUAUUGAAUUUCAAAGUCUAAAAUUUAUUCUUAAAAUAGAUAAUGAUGAUGAGAUUAAUAGAAUAUGUCUAAAAUUAACUGGGCCAUGUGCAAAUUAUUUCAGCGCUUGAAAAAGGAAAAGGAAUAUAUAGGACACUCGGUAUCACCAAUUAGGAGGGUGUGUGUGAUGAGGCAACCAAGGCCAAGACCGAUCGAGCUCAUUCAAAGCCCUGUCCUCAACUACGCGAGUUACAAAUUCCAAUUAGUAGGGCCUGCAUGCCCAAAAGAUGUUCUGGCUUGGCACUUUAUAUAGUAAGGAAAUGAUGGUGCCUGUUCUAUUCGGUCAAAUCAGGAUGAGAUCUCCUAGCGUUUAAAAUGCAGCAAGAAGCUAGCUAGAAAUCCGGGGGAAUCUUCAAUUCCUCUAAUUAUUCACAGAUUUGGAAACUUAUUUGGCAUCUUGGGGUUCCACCGAAAUUAAGGACAUUGUAGCUAUAUAUGUUGGCGUGGAUAUGUGGAACCAUAUAGGAACGAUCUUCUUCAUGGGAACAAACACAUUUCUCCUCCCUAACUUGUGGUUCGUAACUCAGCUGCUGCAAUUGUGGACGCCGGUGUUGAACGAGUCAUGGGUAACUUUGCCGUAAAUGCGGCAGAGGUUAUCCCCAUUUGACAGGCCUUGAUCUUUACAUGAGAUAUCGGCCUAUCUGGAGUCAAUGUGAUUCCAAGCAAUUAAGUGAUUCAUCGUCUCAAUUCUCCUCAGAAUGAUGAGUCUUAUCGCUACAAGAAUCUACCCCAUAGUCGACGGAGACGGACUAAAUGUUGUUGUCUUUGACCUCACGGUCAACGGAGUUAAGGUCGACGGACAGGACAUGCCCGUCUCAUCUAGAAGGCGGAGAUGUCCGUGACUAUGACCCUAUUUCUUGUAGUGUAUAUUUUAAUAUUAUACUAAUAGAGAAUCGUAUGAAAUUGAGAUUUUUUUGAGACUAUUAACGGUCGGCUAAUUCGGUGUCCCAUGGUUUAGUUAAAUUGGCUUAAGCAUUUGAUAUGUCUUUUCUUACAUAGGUUGGAGGAUGUUUAUAUUCGGAUUUUCCGUCUUUAAAUUAUUUUUUUUUAAAAAAAAAUUCACUCUAACCGGACGUAAAG